GUUUUUUUUCUGAUUUGUACUUUUGAUUCAUGAUCUGAUUUUUCAUAAGGAAGCCUCGACAGCGUUUGUUUUCCUAUUGAAGAUCUCACAUUCAAGUCUUCACUGUCAAGAGCAAGCAGGGGAUAGAAUGUACCAAGUAACUUAGCAACCAUCCAAAUUCCAUCCACAUUCCAGGCCUGUGCUCCAGUUCUAUGGGAAACACCAUUCAAUCCAGAAAUAGACAAGAAAGAGGGUUGAAACCUUCAUGACAAUGCUAGAGAAUUAACAGUGAGAGAUGCAUUAAGCAACAACACAGUUUUGCCUUUUACAAGCUCCCUGAGGUUUUUAUUUCAGUCAGAGGACCAAGAUUUCAGUUCAAGUCACUGGAAGAAAAGAGCUGUCAUUUAUGCUCUCUACUUACAGGUAAAUUGUCUUGUGAUUAUUUCCACAGAACUCUGACGUGGAUAAGGAUUAUAUCUUUUGUGAUGAUAUGAAUGAUACAUCUUAGCCCCUUUACUUGCUAGAUGACUUCUCUUUAUUUCACAAUCAGAUAAGAACAGAGAAGACUCAAGCUGAUUAGCAGAUUUUUUGUUUUCCUCUCAAACUACAGCUACCUAAGAUCAGAACCCUCUGAUCAUUUGUGCUGCUAUUUUAAGAUCCAGUUUCAUUCUACAACUGGCUGAAGCAUGAAGUCAACUAAAAUAAAGAGAAUUGAGUGGAACUGAACUGAACUGAAGUGAAAUAAUGUGAUUUCCAGUAAACCUGACACCUUAAGGACAGAACAUGAGCCUUGCCCAUCUUCCUCCCAGAGUUCCCAGCACAAUCACCGACUUACACAAUACUCUCAGUGCAUGAGUGAUGAAUUUCACUAACAGCGACCCAUCUCUCUCUACAUAAUCCACUCCGGUUUCACCGGAGCUGAGAGUAUCAUGAAUUACAUCUAUAGAUAGCUGUAAGCUAAUGACCAAAGCACAUAACUGAAUUCAAACAUAUUCUUUAUUGCAGUCAGAUGUGAGAAAACAAAAUUUAGAAGACAAGCCAGAAAGGAAAUGAAGAACAUAAAGAGCCUGAAUUCUC
This 1056-nucleotide long non-coding RNA is filed under the name Pan paniscus (pygmy chimpanzee). RNAcentral describes it as "lncRNA (ENSPPAG00000044510.1)". The record is from RNAcentral. Lineage: Eukaryota; Metazoa; Chordata; Mammalia; Primates; Hominidae.